UUAUUCUCAACUUUUCGCAUCGUGGGCGCCGGGUCUUGCGUCUGCCCCCGAGCCGUCGUGCGCCCGG
This 67-nucleotide ribosomal RNA is filed under the name Lotharella oceanica. RNAcentral's name for it is "partial Eukaryotic large subunit ribosomal RNA". The record is from RNAcentral. Lineage: Eukaryota; Cercozoa; Chlorarachniophyceae.